Molecule: unclassified non-coding RNA, 350 nt
Filed under: uncultured Acaulosporaceae
Lineage: Eukaryota; Fungi; Glomeromycota; Glomeromycetes; Diversisporales; Acaulosporaceae
Description: sequence contains ITS1
Rfam family: 5.8S ribosomal RNA (bases 1-105)
Source: RNAcentral
GAAAUGCGAUAAGUAAUGUGAAUUGCAGAAUUCCGUGAAUCAUCAAAUCUUUGAACGCAAAUUGCACUCUUUGGUAUUCCGAAGAGUAUGCUUGUUUGAGGGUUGUUCCAAUAAAAUCGUUUUUUUUAAACGGAUCUGAGUUUUCCGAUUUGGUAACUUGAAAUUUAUCUUAACGAUAUCUUUGGUAUGAUAUUGGAAAUGGUCAUAUUCUUACAUAUUGUGAGUUUCAUUAACAAUUGAUUACCUGUCGUUACGUCGUGUUAUUUGCCUAAUCCUUUUUUUAAUUGGGUUAUUUAAUACAAUCUUUCUUUCAACACCUCAAGUCAAGUAAGAAUACCCGCUGAACUUAA